RNAcentral lists this ribosomal RNA (474 nucleotides) under uncultured bacterium. RNAcentral describes it as "bacterial SSU rRNA". It matches the Rfam family "Bacterial small subunit ribosomal RNA", at positions 328 to 793 of the family's 1533-position model. The record is from RNAcentral.
CGCGGUCACUCCUACGGGGAGGCAGCAGUAGGGAAUCUUCCACAAUGGGCGCAAGCCUGAUGGAGCAACACCGCGUGAGUGAAGAAGGGUUUCGGCUCGUAAAGCUCUGUUGUUUAAAGAAGAACACGUAUGAGAGUAACUGUUCAUACGUUGACGGUAUUUAACCAGAAAGUCACGGCUAACUACGUGCCAGCAGCCGCGGUAAUACGUAGGUGGCAAGCGUUAUCCGGAUUUAUUGGGCGUAAAGAGAGUGCAGGCGGUUUCUAAGUCUGAUGUGAAAGCCUUCGGCUUAACCGGAGAAGUGCAUCGGAAACUGGAUAACUUGAGUGCAGAAGAGGGUAGUGGAACUCCAUGUGUAGCGGUGGAAUGCGUAGAUAUAUGGAAGAACACCAGUGGGGAAGGCGGCUACCUGGUCUGCAACUGACGCUGAGACUCGAAAGCAUGGGUAGCGAACAGGAUUAGAUACCCUGGUAG